GCCCGAUUGGCUCAAUUGGUCAGAGCGCCAACCUGAUACGUUGGAGGCUGGUGGUUCAAUUCCGCCAUCGGGUAC
Molecule: transfer RNA, 75 nt
Filed under: Mycobacteroides abscessus subsp. abscessus
Lineage: Bacteria; Bacillati; Actinomycetota; Actinomycetes; Mycobacteriales; Mycobacteriaceae
Description: tRNA-Ile(gat)
Rfam family: tRNA
About the family: Transfer RNA (tRNA) molecules are approximately 80 nucleotides in length.
Source: RNAcentral